This is a small RNA of Pseudomonas oryzihabitans, 81 nucleotides long. It matches the Rfam family "Pseudomonas sRNA P31". Lineage: Bacteria; Pseudomonadati; Pseudomonadota; Gammaproteobacteria; Pseudomonadales; Pseudomonadaceae. The record is from Rfam.
AGAAGACCUCCGAAAAUCAAGCCUUGGCGGGCAAACGCAGGGUGCAAAAAAACGGGAUGACAUCUCGAAGAGUCAUCCCGU